GUCGAAGUGGCGGAAUUGGUAGACGCGCACGAUUCAGGUUCGUGUGGUUCACGCCUUGAGGGUUCGAGUCCCUUCUUCGACA
RNAcentral lists this transfer RNA (82 nucleotides) under Candidatus Melainabacteria bacterium. RNAcentral's name for it is "tRNA-Leu". It matches the Rfam family "tRNA". From Rfam's summary of the family: Transfer RNA (tRNA) molecules are approximately 80 nucleotides in length. Their secondary structure includes four short double-helical elements and three loops (D, anti-codon, and T loops). Lineage: Bacteria; Bacillati; Candidatus Melainabacteria. The record is from RNAcentral.